ACCAAACGCAGAGUUAAGGCGCCUAAAUUGACGCUCAUGUGAAACCAUGAAAGGCGUUGGUUGCUUAAGACAGCAGGACGGUGGCCAUGGAAGUUGGAAUCCGCUAAGGAGUGUGUAACAACUCACCUGCCGAAGCAACUAGCCCUGAAAAUGGAUGGCGCUGUAGCGUCGUGCCUAUACUCUGCCGUCAAUGACAAAGGUAGUUAAUAAGCUUGUGUGUUUUAAUUAACAUUGUAGUUUUUGCUGCAGUGUUUUCUUUAAAAUUUAUACAACUUAUUAUAUACUGCCAUUAUGUCUUGAUGAGUAAGAGGGUCGCGGCGAUGAGCGCAGAAGGGUCUGGGCGAGAGCCCGCCUGGAGCCGUCGCUGGUGCAGAUCUUGGUGGUAGUAGCAAAUACUCCAGCGAGGCCCUGGAGGACUGAUGUGGAGAAGGGUUUCUUGUGAACAGCUGUUGCACAAGAGUCAGUCGAUCCUAAGCCCUAGGAGAAAUCCGAAGCGAUAGGCUGCCGUUAAUAUAAUAUAUAAUGGUUGGCGCUAUCAGGGCGAAAGGGAAUCCGGUUCCUAUUCCGGAACCCGGCAGCGGAACCGUUCCAAAUCGGGCUCUCAUUUGAGGACUCGUCGGGGUAACCCGAUAAGACCCGGAGACGCCGUAGGGAAAUUCGGAGAGAGUUGUCUCUUCUCUAUAAGCGUUCGAGUUCCCUGGAAACCUCUAGCAGGGAGAUAGGGUUUGGAACGCGAAGAGCACCGCAGUUACGGCGGUGUCCGGAUCUUCCCUACGGACCUUGAAAAUCCGGGAGAGGGCCACGAGGAACCCCGCGCCGGCUCGUACCCAUAUCCGCAGCAGGUCUCCAAGGUCAAUAGCCUCUAGUCGAUAGAAUAAUGUAGGUAAGGGAAGUCGGCAAAUCCGAUCCGUAACUUCGGGAUAAGGAUUGGCUCUGAGGACUGAGUCGUGCCGGGCUUGGUCGGGAAGUGGAGCGGUGUCAACGAGCCGGGCCUGGGCGAGGAGAAAAUUGCGUUUCGGCGCUUUUGGAUCCGAGUUCGGUCCCGUGCCUUGGCCACCCACGGAUCUUCCUUGCUGCGAGUCGUUAGCCGUGUGGUUGCCACUGGCCUUUGGGUCGGCUGGUAAACCUGGCUUACGAUCUCUUCGGCCGACAUUCAACAGUCAACUCAGAACUGGCACGGACAAGGGGAAUCCGACUGUCUAAUUAAAACAAAGCAUUGCGAUGGCCCCAACGGGUGUUGACGCAAUGUGAUUUCUGCCCAGUGCUCUGAAUGUCAAAGUGAAGAAAUUCAAGCAAGCGCGGGUAAACGGCGGGAGUAACUAUGACUCUCUUAAGGUAGCCAAAUGCCUCGUCAUCUAAUUAGUGACGCGCAUGAAUGGAUUAACGAGAUUCCCUCUGUGUCCCUAUCUACUAUCUAGCGAAACCACGGCCAAGGGAACGGGCUUGGAAAAAUCAGCGGGGAAAGAAGACCCUGUUGAGCUUGACUCUAGUCUGGUACUGUAAGGAGACAUGAGAGGUGUAGCAUAAGUGGGAGGUAGUUUUAUAAACUAUCGACAAUGAAAUACCACUACUUUCAUAGUUUCCUUACUUACUCGGUGAGGCGGAAGGCGUCCGUCGGGGUGAUACCACCUCGGCGUGACGGUAUUCUCGUGCCAAACGCUAAGGGUUGUCGGCGGACGAUCGU
RNAcentral lists this ribosomal RNA (1684 nucleotides) under Zeluroides americanus. Its description in RNAcentral is "partial large subunit ribosomal RNA". It matches the Rfam family "Eukaryotic large subunit ribosomal RNA", at positions 1167 to 2587 of the family's 3401-position model. Lineage: Eukaryota; Metazoa; Arthropoda; Insecta; Hemiptera; Reduviidae. The record is from RNAcentral.